RNAcentral lists this ribosomal RNA (497 nucleotides) under uncultured bacterium. RNAcentral's name for it is "partial 16S ribosomal RNA". It matches the Rfam family "Bacterial small subunit ribosomal RNA", at positions 28 to 507 of the family's 1533-position model. The record is from RNAcentral.
GAUGAACGCUGGCGGCGUGCCUAAUACAUGCAAGUCGAGCGAACAGACGCGGAGGUUUCUCCUCUGACGUUAGCGGCGGACGUGUGAGUAAUACGUGGUUAACCUCCCUAUAAGACUGGGAUAACUUCGGGAAACCGGUGCUACUACUGGUUAAUAUAUUGAACCGCAUUGUUCUUUAGUCAAAGACGGUUUUGCUGUCACUUAUAGUUGGAUACGCGCCGCAUUAGCUAGUUGGUCAGGUAACGGCUUACCAAGGCAACGAUUCGUAGCCGACCCGCGAGGGUAAGCGUCCACACUGUAACUGGAACACGGUCCAGACUCCAACGCUAGGCAACGGAAGAGAGUGUACCGCAAUGCGCGAGAGGCUGGCGGAACAACGCCGCGUCAGUGAUGAGAGUCAGCGGAUCGUAAAUCUCUACUAUUAGUGAAGAACAAAUGUGUAAGUAACUAUGCGCUUCUUGACGGUACCUAAAGAGAAAGCCUCGGCUAACUACGUG